Molecule: ribosomal RNA, 460 nt
Filed under: uncultured bacterium
Lineage: Bacteria
Description: SSU rRNA
Rfam family: Bacterial small subunit ribosomal RNA
Source: RNAcentral
AGAAUCAACGCUGGCGGCGUGCCUAACACAUGCAAGUCGCACGAGAAAGGGACUUCGGUCCUGAGUACAGUGGCGCACGGGUGAGUAACACGUGAAUAAUCUACCUCCGAGUGGGGAAUAACUGAGAGAAAUCUUAGCUAAUACCGCAUAACACUUACGAGUCAAAGCAGCAAUGCGCUUGGAGAGGAGUUCGCGGCAGAUUAGUUAGUUGGCGGGGUAAUGGCCCACCAAGACGAUGAUCUGUAUCCGGCCUGAGAGGGCGCACGGACACACUGGAACUGAAACACGGUCCAGACUCCUACGGGAGGCAGCAGUGGGGAAUUUUGCGCAAUGGGGGAAACCCUGACGCAGCAACGCCGCGUGGAGGAUGAAAUCCCUUGGGAUGUAAACUCCUUUCGAUAGGGAAGAUAAUGACGGUACCUAUAGAAGAAGCCCCGGCUAACUUCGCGCCAGCAGCCGC